GAUGAAGAACGUAGCGAAAUGCGAUAAGUAGUGUGAAUUGCAGAAUUCAGUGAAUCAUCGAGUCUUUGAACGCACAUUGCGCCCCCUGGUAUUCCGGGGGGCAUGCCUGUCCGAGCGUCAUUGCUGCCCUCAAGCCCGGCUUGUGUGUUGGGUCUCGUCCCCCUUCCCGGGGGGACGGGCCCGAAAGGCAGCGGCGGCACCGCGUCCGGUCCUCGAGCGUAUGGGGCUUUGUCACCCGCUCUGUAGGCCCGGCCGGCGCUUGCCGAUCAACCAAAACUUUUUUCCAGGUUGACCUCGGAUCAGGUAGGGAUACCCGCUGAACUUAAGCAUAUCAAUAAGCGGAGGA
Molecule: unclassified non-coding RNA, 346 nt
Filed under: soil metagenome
Description: partial contains 5.8S ribosomal RNA, internal transcribed spacer 2, and large subunit ribosomal RNA
Rfam family: 5.8S ribosomal RNA (bases 1-120)
Source: RNAcentral